UACGGGGGGAGCAAGCGUUGUUCGGAUUUACUGGGCGUAAAGGGCUCGUAGGCGGCCAACUAAGUCGGAUGUGAAAUCCCCAGGCUUAACCUGGGAAUUGCAUCCGAUACUGGAUGGCUUGAAUCCGGGAGAGGGAUGCGGAAUUCCAGGUGUAGCGGUGAAAUGCGUAGAUAUCGAGAGGAACACCUGCGGCGAAGGCGGGUUGCUGGGCUGAUACUGACGCUGAGGCGCGAAAGCCAGGGGAGCGAACGGG
Molecule: ribosomal RNA, 253 nt
Filed under: uncultured bacterium
Lineage: Bacteria
Description: partial 16S ribosomal RNA
Rfam family: Bacterial small subunit ribosomal RNA
Source: RNAcentral